Molecule: long non-coding RNA, 290 nt
Filed under: Vigna radiata
Lineage: Eukaryota; Viridiplantae; Streptophyta; Magnoliopsida; Fabales; Fabaceae
Description: long non-coding RNA (VRAD_LNC004222)
Source: RNAcentral
AAAAAAAAUUCACAAACUGAAUUGCCUCCUAGCAAGCGCUCUUUUUAUGUCACUAGCUUGACCUGGUAGAGUUCAAACACCCAUCAGUAGGUGUUGAUACUCCUCUUUCUUGAUAUUCUUUUCUUUUCUUCUUCCUGCUGAAUUUCUUCAUAAAAUUAAGAACACCAAGCACUUGUUUCCAUGUUUCAACCAUAGGAACUUUAAUCUCCAAUUUCUUGAAGAUCGCCAACUUGAACUUAUUUCCCUUCCUAUGAUUUUUCUUUUUAUGAGGAAGAUGUUUUUCAUGUGAU